Long non-coding RNA from Oreochromis niloticus (Nile tilapia), 232 nucleotides. RefSeq lists it as uncharacterized. The record is from RefSeq and is a predicted model, not a curated record. The transcript is spliced from 2 exons. NCBI's taxonomy places the organism in Eukaryota, Metazoa, Chordata, Actinopteri, Cichliformes, Cichlidae.
UUUGGAAAGAGUUCCAGCUUCAUCACGGAGUUUCUCUCGGUUUGUGGGCUCAUCUAAAGCUGAUCAUCAGGAGGAGACGAGCCAUUUAGACUCAGCUCAGCCACUACAGAGGAAACAAUGACUUCAACCCAAAAGGUGAGCAAAAAUAUCACUGUUAUUGAAACUUUGUGCACAUUACAACUCUCAUUGUAGCUCCAUUGUUGUGGUAACACACCUACAAUGAGUUUGUUGA